UACGGAGGGAGCUAGCGUUAUUCGGAAUUACUGGGCGUAAAGCGCACGUAGGCGGCUUUGUAAGUUAGAGGUGAAAGCCUGGAGCUCAACUCCAGAAUUGCCUUUAAGACUGCAUCGCUUGAAUCCAGGAGAGGUGAGUGGAAUUCCGAGUGUAGAGGUGAAAUUCGUAGAUAUUCGGAAGAACACCAGUGGCGAAGGCGGCUCACUGGACUGGUAUUGACGCUGAGGUGCGAAAGCGUGGGGAGCAAACAGGG
This 254-nucleotide ribosomal RNA is filed under the name uncultured bacterium. RNAcentral describes it as "partial 16S ribosomal RNA". It matches the Rfam family "Bacterial small subunit ribosomal RNA", at positions 524 to 777 of the family's 1533-position model. The record is from RNAcentral.